ACAAGUCACCACCACCUCCACACUAUCACCAUAAGUCUCCACCUCCAUACCACUACAAGUCACCACCUCCACCAUCCCCUUCACCUCCUCCUCCUUAUGUCUACAAGUCUCCACACCUCCGUCACGUCACCUCUCUCAUACGUCUAUAAUCUCAACACACAUCUCAUCCCACUCUCCUUAUGUGUACAAUCUCACCACACAUCUCAUNNNNNNNNNNNNNNNNNNNNNNNNNNNNNNNNNNNNNNNNNNNNNNNNNNNNNNNNNNNNNNNNNNNNNNNNNNNNNNNNNNNNNNNNNNNNNNNNNNNNGUUGACAACAAGUGUGCUGGUGAAUAAUAAGGGUCUAGCAGAACCCUUCUUGUAAUCUGUUGUAAGCACUUAUUGUAUUACUUCUUUAAAGAGAUUAAUUGAAUCAAAUGAAAGUGAAGAACAUUAAUUUCAUGUACUUGUUAAUCUAGUAUAUGCCCCUAUGACUUUUGGGUUAAUUAGUUCUGUGCUUCUUUGUUGAAAAGUUAAUGCAUGAUAAUGCAUAUCACUUUAUCAUCGUUAUUAAAUAGUAAACAUGCAUGCAUUUUAUAAUAAAUUUGGUACCUGGAUGUUUCAAGUUGUAACCAAAGCUCAAUUGGCCAGAUACGAAAUCAAAUUUAAGAAUUGUUUAAUCUGAUAGUUGACGUGACUUACUGUUUAUGUUCAUAUGUUUGGGAAACAUUACUGCAAUUGAGUGGACAGAGAUAUGUUUAUGUCCAUUGGGCCUACUCUCGGAACUUAGCUGGCAUGAACAAAUUAAUAGUUGACUACUGGGCACUUAAACAUACCCAAAUUUUUUUAGAGGCUAUUGAUUUUGAGUAGGAAUCCCCGUUGGGUCCGGUCCCAGGCUUAAUCGGGAAGAUUUCGGGGUAAAAUUAGAGGCUGGUAUGUGAAUCUCUAAAUUUUUAAAAUUCCCUGUCAAGGAUGGUAUUGUCACUACAAAAAAAAAGUGGUAACAGUCACCAUUAUUUAGUGACAUUUGCUGGGGCGAUUAAAGGUUUUAGUCACUAAAAAAGUCUUUUUUGGUGACUUCAAAAAUGCCUUUUGUGACUAAAGCCUUUAGUCACCCCAACAAAUAUCACCAAAUAAUGGUCACUAUUGCCACUUUUGUUUUUUUGAGGUGUUAUCCCCUUCUCCAAACCCGGUCUAAUAAGGGAAAUAUUUAUUUGGGUAAAAAAACACUUUUGGCCACUAGGGUUAGAGUUGAAAACGAUUUUGGACAUGGAUCCGUUGUCCCUAUUUUUCAUGUCCCUCCAUGUCCCUUUUCUAAUUUCUUGACAAGUGUCCACCUACUUAACCCCAAACUAAUACUGUUAAUUUGUAAUAAAAUAUUUAAAAAACAUAAAAACUAAAAUCGAAAAACAAAAACCAAGCAGACACCACAACCCCGCCCCACCUCAGCAGCCCCCUGAGCCUCUCCCAUCUUCACCAUCGGCGAAGCAUCCCCUCUUAUUUGUCUCUCUUUCCUUCUUCUAUCUCACUGCCUCUCCUGAAUUUGUUCCUCUUUCCCUCCUCUUUCGUGGUGUGGGUGUGACGAGGAAUAGUGUUUCUAAGCAAUAAUAGUCAUAAUCUCAAAGUUUAAGUCAUAGUGUUUCUAAGCAAUAAUAGUCUUCAGUCACCAUUGAAUUCUACGAGGGUUUAGAUCAAAUCGGCAUCAACAAAAAUUAACAAAUAAUAUUUCAAGGGUUGUGUGACUUGCAACACUUCGUAGAAAAGAUUGGGACAAAAUUCAAAGGAGAGAUAUAUAUAUAUAUAUAUAUAGAGAGAGAGAGCUUCCAUUGAGGGAUCCCUCAAAUAACUUAUUUGAGGAAUACCCCUUGUAGGCCCCACUUCGAAUUGUAUCUCAUUCAUCCAAACAGUCUAUUUUGUAGAUACUCAUUCAAAGAUCAUCUCUACAAAAAAUCACUUGAAUCCGAUAUCAGUUGACCACUCAAUUGAGUUAUUGAAAUUUUAGUACUUUUUUGAAGCACCGUGUUCAUUGAUUUUGUAAGACACAAUUGGAUGUCGAAACGGUUUCCGAUUUGUCUAAUUUUUUGUAAGGAUAAUCUAUGAAUGAAGACCUAAAAAAUAGAUGAUUUGGAUCAUUGGAAAAAAAAAUUGUAAGGUACCCUAAAGGGCGUUCCUCAAAUAAUUUGAGGGAUCCCUCAAUAGAAGGGGAUAUAUAUAUAUUUAUAUAUUAGGAGUCUAAACCAGCGGUUUUAGUAUUUCCUCUUCAGCAAUUGGUGGGCUAUGCUUGUGUACUAGUUCUCCAAUAUCGAAUGUGUGAGGUUGAUUAUGGUAUAGGGCAGAAACAAACAUACCUUACAAGUGAAAUCACAUAGUACUAAACUGGAAUUGAAGUUCUUUUCUCUUUUUCCCCCCCUUUGGGAAGGAUAAUCUCUUUAAAUUGUACGCAGAUGUGUACAAAAUGAGUGGUUUUUGUAUUGUCUAAAACUGAGAAGGGAAAUAUUUUUGCCUAUCUUUUUGGCUCCUUUUUGUGUUUUCUUAUUUGUCGAGGAUAAUAGAAGGGUUGGUUAGAUGAGCAUCGAUCCACGACAAUGUCAACUUAGGCGGUGACCUCUUAGUUGGAAUCGAGAGUCCCUUUUUUGUUUUGGUUAGAAUGAAAACAAAGUCUGCAGUCGAUAUAUACCUUUAACUAAGUUUCCCUUGUUUUUCUUUCUUUGCAUUUGUUUUUCUUCCUUACCGACUAAUACGUACAAACAUGCAUAAGACUUUCAAUCUAAAUUUCAAACUUUUCUAGAAGUAGAGAGAGAGAGAUAGUAUAUAUAUAUAUAUUGAGCCAUCACUUGCCAAGUCUAAUGACACACAAGUAGGACACACACAUUAAAUGCAAGCUUGACCUUAAAUUUUUCUUCCCUCUUACACACAAGGGCCGAUUGAGUGAAAAUAAAAAUAAAAAAUUGAUUUAGAGAGACCAAAAUAUUAAAGAAAAUUUGAUAUUUCUCAAAAUUUUCAAUGUCUAAUAUAUUUUUUUAUUAAAUAUAUGUAAUAUAGUUUAUGUAAUUAACUUACUAUAAAUUUAUAUAAACAAAAACCAUAAUUUGCAGGGUAGUACAAAUAUCCACAAAUAAUUAAUACAAAGAUAGAAGCAUAGUAAGCACGUAAGGUUAAUCCAGAUACAUAGAAAGACACAGUACCGAGAACAUCAAGCGCACAAGGUGUAUCUCCACUAAUUAAUAGCCACAUAAUGCCAAAGAAAUUUUUGCAUAAAAGCUACAAGACUGCAUAAGACAGACAUGAACCGCAGUGCGUAAAACUACCAACACAACUGCAACUUUUAAACUCUCGCAAGUAGAACUUAUAAGUAAGUACCUAGACUACAAACAAACACCCAACUUACAAGAAUUGAUGAAAUUAUUACAACUCAAGAAUAUAUAAACACACAACAAGUGAGUAAAAGUUGCUAAGCCACUAAGCCACCUUGUAUGUCUCUAAAUUUGGCAACGAAACCACCAGUGCAUUGCUACUUCAUCGUCACCAAAGAUUCCAAUGAAAGCCAAAUCACAAGGCUGGGUUUUUUUUUUUUUUUGGAGAAAAACUUAGGUUGGUUUUAUUACUAGAGAAUUCGAAUGGCACAAUUGCUUUUCAGGUUCUCCAUCUUAAUUUGUAAUAGAAGUAACACAUUUAAAAGAUUUAUUUUUCUAGCUCUCAUAAAUAUGGAUGAGGUGAAACCAGCCAAAAGUUCCUCAGUCACACGCUAAACUGAAUAUCUUUAAACCUUAUUACUCUAGGUUGGUAAAAGAAUUUUCUCUUUUUAAUUCUUUGGUGCAACUCGAUCUCUUCUUUAUAGUUUUUUGAGAGUCGAUCACUUUUGACAAAGUGCCAAGUUGCCAACUAUGCUCCUAUUUACAUUACAUUGAAUAAAGAAAAAGAUAAUAUAGUGAGGAUAGAAUAGUUAUUAUCAGUUAUUCUAAAAUAAAAUAAAAUAAAACAAACUAAAAUUAUCCAUAUGUUUCUCCCACAAUUUUUUGUCACUAUUUCUUAUUAUCUACUUCUCGAGCAAUAAUUGUCUCACAUACAAAGCAUUCUAGUAAUAGUAAUAUAAGGACUAAUGAACUAAUGCAAAAACAUUAAGGGCCCUUAAUUGAGUUCGGCAAUUCAAAUCCAAAAAUUCAAUUGGCAAAGUACAAUGUGUGUUUAUUUAUUUGGGUUAAAUAUUUUUUUGGUCACUAGAAAAAAAUUCAGCCAAAUUGGUCACUGUGUUUUCCGAAGUAUACAAUUUAUUGACAUUCUGUUAUCUUUCAUUAAUUGCAGUUUUUUUUAAAAAAAAAAAAAUAGGAAUCACCUUCUGUCUUCUUCCUUUAACUCAACAAGUUAUGGUAUAUUGUGCUAUUAGAGUUCAGCAAAUUGGGGGAAAUCUUGGGUUGAAAUCGAAAUCGUGAGGCAUGAGGAAAAUCAAAAGGCCAAACCAAAUUAAAAUGAAAUCAACAACUUACUAAUAUAUUUUGGUGCUCUAUCACAUUGAUUGUGUCUCCUUGUCAUCCGAAGUCACAAUACAAUUCUCACUCAAUCGAUUCAGGCUUCAAUAUAAUACCCAAUUAUUCGUGACCUUAUACCUCAUCAUUUCGAUUUCAACCCAAAAUUUCCCCCCAUCUUUAAAACUCUUAUAGCACAAUAACCUAACUUGUUGAGUUAGCGAGUUAGAGGAAGAAGACUUGAACGUGCUUCUUGGAAAUAUAAAAAUAAAAACUGCACUUAAUGGAAGUUAACGGUAGAUAACAAAAUGUCUAAAUUGUAAACUUAUGGAAAUAUUGUGAUCAAUCUGACUAAAUUUUUUUCUGAAUGACUAAAUUGAAUUUCCGUGUAAUGACCAAAAAGAUAUUUAAUCCUAUUUAUUUUUAUGAAGCAAAACUCUAAUGUUAAUGGAUGAAAGCUUUACACCUUUUAAUUAGCUAAGCACUUUUGAUAAUCCAGUAAAGUAUUUUUCAUAAUGGGUCAAAGUGUUCAGUUAUAUGCAAGCUAGCGUUCGAACUUUACCUUUUUUUACCAUAUAUAUUUAUUAUUACUUCACUAGUUGCUGGAGAACAGACCAACCCUUUUCAUUUUCACUCUCCAGCCGUACAACACUUACCUACCACACGGUUUGACUUGUCCAUGGCCUUCAUGAAAGAUCAAAGUUGAAAAAUCUUUGUGGGAACCCAAAUUCACUGGUUGAAGCAUGCGAGUUCAACUGAUUGGCAUUUCAAAAUCUCAAAGUCACAUUUGGUAGAAAACUUAAAGCAUCAAUCCAGCCAAUUAUGCUGAAUAAGCAAACAUGUCUUAUUCAAAGAUGAUGUCAAAGAUUGCUAUAAAAGGGAUAGCUUUCUCACCAUUUCCAACCACCUCACUCACAAAACAAGUUCUAAGAACUACAAUUUGUGGCAGAAAUGAGAACCUCAGGACAGCUGAGGCAUUGCCCUACAAUGUUUUAUGCCUUGGCAUUGUGCCUCUUGGCCACAAGUGUGCUUGCCACUACGCCUUAUACUUAUUCUUCACCACCUCCACCAAAGCACUUGGAGACCCCUCCAACCCAUUACAAGUCCCCCCCACCACCGAAGUAUGUAAAACAUCCACCACCUCCAUCACCAUCACCCCCGCCACCCUAUUAUAAGUCUCCACCACCGCCUUCUCAUUCGCCGCCUCCUCCUUAUGUGCACAAAUCUCCUCCACCACCCACUCACUCACCACCUCCACCAUAUGCUUACAAGUCACCACCUCCCCCUUCUAAAUCACCACCUCCUCCUUAUGUCCACAAAUCUCCUCCUUAUGUCCACAAGUCACCACCUCCACCAUCAUAUUCUCCUCCACCUCCUUACCACUACAAGUCACCACCACCACCAUCUCCAUCACCUCCCCCUCCAUACCACUACAACUCUCCUCCUCCUCCAGUGAAGUCACCUCCACCUCCCCAAUAUCACUACAAAUCACCUCCACCUCCAAAACACUACUAAGCUUUAUGGGAUUUUAGCGACUUGAACCAGUCCAAAUAAGGUCUUCGUUUCGAUGUUCCAGCGGUAUCACUUCUUUUUCUAGCUUUGUUCUAUUCGCAGACAAGUGUGUUUGUGAAUAAUAAAGGUC
This 6082-nucleotide long non-coding RNA is filed under the name Prunus persica (peach). RNAcentral describes it as "long non-coding RNA (PPER_LNC004398)". Lineage: Eukaryota; Viridiplantae; Streptophyta; Magnoliopsida; Rosales; Rosaceae. The record is from RNAcentral.